CCUACGGGAGACAGCAGUGGGGAAUAUUGCACAAUGGGGGAAACCCUGAUGCAGCGACGCCGCGUGAGUGAAGAAGUAUUUCGGUAUGUAAAGCUCUAUCAGCAGGGAAGAAGAAAGACGGUACCUACCUAAGAAGCCCCGCCUAACUACGGGCAAGCAGCCGCGGUAAGACGUAGGGGGCAAGCGUUAUCCGGAUUUACUGGGUGUAAAGGGAGCGUAGACGGCUGUGCAAGUCUGAAGUGAAAGCCCAGGGCUCAACCCCGGGACUGCUUUGGAAACUGUGGAGCUAGAGUGCUGGAGAGGUAAGUGGAAUUCCUAGUGUAGCGGUGAAAUGCGUAGAUAUUAGGAGGAACACCAGUGGCGAAGGCGGCUUACUGGACAGUAACUGACGUUGAGGCUCGAAAGCGUGGGGAGCAAACAGGAUUAGAUACCCUGGUAGUC
Molecule: ribosomal RNA, 441 nt
Filed under: uncultured bacterium
Lineage: Bacteria
Description: partial 16S ribosomal RNA
Rfam family: Bacterial small subunit ribosomal RNA
Source: RNAcentral